CCACUCACUGCGUUGACGUUCGCUGUGCUCUGCAUCGUGCCAUCCUUUGUUGUGGAGCUGAGGGAAGGAAUCCCCUUGCUGCUCCGCUACCCGCCUGUUUGCUUUUCCCGACAGUGGGGAAGCUGCGAGCUGCAAUUGGAGAACACUCGAGCCAACACCUAGUCUUAGCUGCCUCCUUGCAUUGUAGUAGCUGAAAUGUGGUGAAUUGGAUUCAGCUCAGUCCAAGUGUUAGCAUUUGCAUUUGGAUGUUCCGUAUCUGGGAUUUGUCUGACUGUCAAAGUUAUGGCGCUUGAAAUAAAGCAUAUUGUUUUUGCCGAAGGAGCUACAGGAUGUUUUUCGUUUUGUCAUUACAAGGACAUAUUUUAACACAUUUAAAAUUCUUUCAUCUGAAAUCUCUUCCCGCUGUAGGUGUGAUUGAAUUCAUCUUGUUCUGGUUAUGCUGAAACACCAAAGGUGUUUCACAAGAACAGAAGCGCACGUAUACCAUGCUCUGGCUAAUGUCAGACAUUUUACUUGUGGAAUUACAUAUCAGCGUUAUUCCUCUUUGCUCUUGGCAAUUUGGGCCUGAUAGAGAGCGGUAUGCUUCCUUUGUGUAGAAAAGCCAGUAAGUGCCAUUAUUAAGCCAGCCAGAGGGGUCAGCGCUCACAGACAGGCACAGAACAGCCGUAGAGCAAUGAGCGUUGACACUCCCAUGCUCCAGACUGCUGCCCCGGGGAUUCAGGAAUGUUUUCUCAACCUCAAAACAAAGAGAAAGCAAAAUGGAGGAAUGCGUUGUUUACUCAUAUGGCUUACAGCUUGACUCAAGACUAUUUCAGCUUAUUAAAACUCUGACCGGCUUUGCGACUUUUAGGACUGAACUCUGAGCUGCCUCCUAGAAUUUUAACGCAGCUUCCAAAUACCACCACAGCCACAGUCUGACAGAUUUGCGGUUGGCAUAGAUUGCAUACAUCAGUAUACAGUUGGAUAUAUUUGAUACACACAGCAAGCUAUGCUACAUUUAGACCUCUUUCCCCUGUAGGUGGAAGGUAUUUUACUGGGACGAUACUGCAUUUGCUCCUUUCAUUUUAAAACAGCAUCAGCUUUCCAACAUGCAGUGUUUAACAGCAAAGUUUUCACUUGUAUACUGAUAGAAAUAAACAAAAUUCUAGAAUCUGGGGAAGUAUGUGGGAGAUCAGUGCAGAUUCCACGAUUCCUAGAAGAUAAGCCAUUUUUACUGUUGCUGACGUUAUAUUGCUAAAACAUCUAUUUUUAAAUAAAUGUAAUC
Gallus gallus (chicken) is the source of this 1264-nucleotide long non-coding RNA. NCBI's taxonomy places the organism in Eukaryota, Metazoa, Chordata, Aves, Galliformes, Phasianidae. The record is from Ensembl.